Molecule: ribosomal RNA, 301 nt
Filed under: uncultured bacterium
Lineage: Bacteria
Description: partial 16S ribosomal RNA
Rfam family: Bacterial small subunit ribosomal RNA
Source: RNAcentral
CAGCCGCCGCGGUAAUACGUAGGUGGCAAGCGUUGUCCGGAAUUAUUGGGCGUAAAGGGCUCGCAGGCGGUUUCUUAAGUCUGAUGUGAAAGCCCCCGGCUCAACCGGGGAGGGUCAUUGGAAACUGGGAAACUUGAGUGCAGAAGAGGAGAGUGGAAUUCCACGUGUAGCGGUGAAAUGCGUAGAGAUGUGGAGGAACACCAGUGGCGAAGGCGACUCUCUGGUCUGUAACUGACGCUGAGGAGCGAAAGCGUGGGGAGCGAACAGGAUUAGAUACCCGCGUAGUCCCUGUCUCUUAUAU